CGCAAGCCUGACGGAGCAAUACCGCGUGAGGGAGGAAGGUCUGUGGAUUGUAAACCUCUUUUGAUAGGGAAGAACACAAUGACGGUACCUAUCGAAUCAGCAUCGGCUAACUCCGUGCCAGCAGCCGCGGUAAUACGGAGGAUGCAAGCGUUAUCCGGAAUUAUUGGGCGUAAAGCGUCCGUAGGUGGUUAAUCAAGUCUAUUGUCAAAGCCUAGGGCUUAACCCUGGAGAGGCAGUGGAAACUGGUUGACUUGAGUGCGGUAGGGGCAGAGGGAAUUCCCAGUGUAGCGGUGAAAUGCGUAGAUAUUGGGAAGAACACCGGUGGCGAAAGCGCUCUGCUGGGCCUGCACUGACACUGAGGGACGAAAGC
Molecule: ribosomal RNA, 370 nt
Filed under: uncultured cyanobacterium
Lineage: Bacteria; Bacillati; Cyanobacteriota
Description: bacterial SSU rRNA
Rfam family: Bacterial small subunit ribosomal RNA
Source: RNAcentral